Small nucleolar RNA from Drosophila eugracilis, 142 nucleotides. RefSeq annotates it as small nucleolar RNA psi18S-1377. The transcript has a single exon. NCBI's taxonomy places the organism in Eukaryota, Metazoa, Arthropoda, Insecta, Diptera, Drosophilidae. The record is from RefSeq and is a predicted model, not a curated record.
UCGUUCUUAUGUUGUUCGCCGGUUGUUACCCUAAACCAGUGAUUGUCAAGAAGAACGUAAAGUAAAAACCAGGCAGCUAUUCACUCCAUAAUGUUGAGCCGUCAUUCCAGGGCUUCUGCAUUACUAAAUGUAUGCCACAUUC